This 496-nucleotide ribosomal RNA is filed under the name bacterium enrichment culture clone ALO1_GLFRUDD03GPD5X. RNAcentral describes it as "bacterial SSU rRNA". It matches the Rfam family "Bacterial small subunit ribosomal RNA", at positions 9 to 501 of the family's 1533-position model. The record is from RNAcentral.
GAGUUUGAUCGUGGCUCAGAUUGAACGCUGGCGGCAGGCCUAACACAUGCAAGUCGAGCGGAUGACGGGAGCUUGCUCCUUGAUUCAGCGGCGGACGGGUGAGUAAUGCCUAGGAAUCUGCCUGGUAGUGGGGGACAACGUUUCGAAAGGAACGCUAAUACCGCAUACGUCCUACGGGAGAAAGCAGGGGGACCUUCGGGCCUUGCGCUAUCAGAUGAGCCUAGGUCGGAUUAGCUAGUUGGUGGGGUAAUGGCUCACCAAGGCGACGAUCCGUAACUGGUCUGAGAGGAUGAUCAGUCACACCGGAACUGAGACACGGUCCAGACUCCUACGGGAGGCAGCAGUGGGGAAUAUUGGACAAUGGGCGAAAGCCUGAUCCAGCCAUGCCGCGUGUGUGAAGAAGGUCUUCGGAUUGUAAAGCACUUUAAGUUGGGAGGAAGGGCAGUAAGUUAUACCUUGCUGUUUUGACGUUACGACAGAAUAAGCACCGGCUAAC